AGAGUUUGAUCCUGGCUCAGAUUGAACGCUGGCGGAAUGCUUUACACAUGCAAGUCGAACGGCAGCACGGGAGCUUGCUCCUGGUGGCGAGUGGCGAACGGGUGAGUAAUAUAUCGGAACAUAUCCUAUCGUGGGGGAUAACUAGUCGAAAGACUAGCUAAUACCGCAUACGUCCUGAGGGAGAAAGCGGGGGCUCGCAAGACCUCGCGCGAUUGGAGUGGCCGAUAUCUGAUUAGCUAGAUGGUGAGGUAAAGGCUCACCAUGGCUUCGAUCAGUAGCUGGUCUGAGAGGAUGAUCAGCCACACUGGGACUGAGACACGGCCCAGACUCCUACGGGAGGCAGCAGUGGGGAAUUUUGGACAAUGGGCGAAAGCCUGAUCCAGCCAUUCCGCGUGAGUGAAGAAGGCCUUCGGGUUGUAAAGCUCUUUCGGCAGGAACGAAACGGCGGAUAUUAAUACUAUCCGUUACUGACGGUACCUGAAGAAGAAGCACCGGCUAACUCCGUGCCAGCAGCCGCGGUAAUAC
This 525-nucleotide ribosomal RNA is filed under the name uncultured Thiobacillus sp. Its description in RNAcentral is "bacterial SSU rRNA". It matches the Rfam family "Bacterial small subunit ribosomal RNA", at positions 8 to 526 of the family's 1533-position model. The record is from RNAcentral. Lineage: Bacteria; Pseudomonadati; Pseudomonadota; Betaproteobacteria; Nitrosomonadales; Thiobacillaceae.